Molecule: ribosomal RNA, 602 nt
Filed under: uncultured Acidobacteriota bacterium
Lineage: Bacteria; Pseudomonadati; Acidobacteriota
Description: bacterial SSU rRNA
Rfam family: Bacterial small subunit ribosomal RNA
Source: RNAcentral
CCCGUAGGAGUACUCCUACGGGAGGCAGCAGUGGGGAAUAUUGGACAAUGGGGGCAACCCUGAUCCAGCCAUGCCGCGUGUGUGAAGAAGGCCUUCGGGUUGUAAACCACUGUCGGGAGGGACGAAUACAGGGCGUCGAAUAGGCGACCCUGGGUGACGGUACCUCCAAAGGAAGCACCGGCUAACUCCGUGCCAGCAGCCGCGGUAAUACGGAGGGUGCGAGCGUUGUCCGGAAUCACUGGGCGUAAAGGGCGCGUAGGUGGCUCGUUAAGUUGCCGGUGAAAACCCGGGGCUCAACCCCGAGGGUGCUAUCCGGACUGCCAAUCUGGAGGUCGGCAGAGGGUAAUGGAAUUCCCGGUGUAGCGGUGAAAUGCGUAGAUAUCUGCAGGAACACCCGUGGCGAAAGCGGCAUACUGGACCACAACUGACGCUGAGGCGCGAAAGCUAGGGGAGCAAACAGGAUUAGAUACCCUGGUAGUCCUAGCCCUAAACGAUGAAUGCUUGGUGUGACAGGUACCCAAUCCUGUCGUGCCGGAGCUAACGCAUUAAGCAUUCCGCCUGGGGAGUACGGUCGCAAGGCUGAAACUUAAAGGAAUUGACGG